GAAAUGCGAAAAGUAAUGCGAAUUGCAGAAUUCAGUGAAUCAUCGAAUCUUUGAACGCACAUUGCGCCCGCCAGUAUUCUGGCGGGCAUGCCUGUCCGAGCGUCAUUUCAACCAUCAAGCCCCCGGGCUUGUGUUGGGGACCUGCGGCUGCCCGCAGGCCCUGAAAACCAGUGGCGGGCUCGCUGUCACACCGAGCGUAGUAGCAAUCACCUCGCUCAGGGCGUGCUGCGGGUUCCGGCCGUUAAACAGCCUUACAAAACCCAAGGUUGACCUCGGAUCAGGUAGGAAGACCCGCUGAACUUAAGC
Molecule: unclassified non-coding RNA, 306 nt
Filed under: plant metagenome
Description: partial contains 5.8S ribosomal RNA, internal transcribed spacer 2, and large subunit ribosomal RNA
Rfam family: 5.8S ribosomal RNA (bases 1-105)
Source: RNAcentral